Molecule: ribosomal RNA, 460 nt
Filed under: uncultured bacterium
Lineage: Bacteria
Description: partial 16S ribosomal RNA
Rfam family: Bacterial small subunit ribosomal RNA
Source: RNAcentral
CCUACGGGGGGCAGCAGUGAGGAAUAUUGGUCAAUGGGCAAGAGCCUGAACCAGCCAAGUCGCGUGAAGGAUGACGGCCCUACGGGUUGUAAACUUCUUUUGUCAGGGAACAAUUGAGUCCACGUGUGGUCUUAGCGAGAGUACCUGAAGAAAAAGCAUCGGCUAACUCCGUGCCAGCAGCCGCGGUAAUACGAAGGAUGCGAGCGUUAUCCGGAUUUAAUGGGUUUAAAGGGUGCGUAGGCGGAAUAUCAAGGCAGCGGUAAAAAUUCGGGGCUCAACCCCGUCGUGCCGUUGAAACUGAUGUUCUUGAGUGGGCGAGAAGUAUGCGGAAUGCGUGGUGUAGCGGUGAAAUGCAUAGAUAUCACGCAGAACCCCGAUUGCGAAGGCAGCAUACCGGCGCCCUACUGACGCUGAGGCACGAAAGUGCGGGUAUCGAACAGGAUUAGAUACCCGGGUAGUC